RNAcentral lists this ribosomal RNA (371 nucleotides) under uncultured Streptococcus sp. Its description in RNAcentral is "bacterial SSU rRNA". It matches the Rfam family "Bacterial small subunit ribosomal RNA", at positions 1009 to 1382 of the family's 1533-position model. The record is from RNAcentral. Lineage: Bacteria; Bacillati; Bacillota; Bacilli; Lactobacillales; Streptococcaceae.
AGAAAGUUACUUCGGUACAUCGGUGACAGUGGUGCAUGGUUGUCGUCAGCUCGUGUCGUGAGAUGUUGGGUUAAGUCCCGCAACGAGCGCAACCCCUAUUGUUAGUUGCCAUCAUUCAGUUGGGCACUCUAGCGAGACUGCCGGUAAUAAACCGGAGGAAGGUGGGGAUGACGUCAAAUCAUCAUGCCCCUUAUGACCUGGGCUACACACGUGCUACAAUGGUUGGUACAACGAGUUGCGAGUCGGUGACGGCGAGCUAAUCUCUUAAAGCCAAUCUCAGUUCGGAUUGUAGGCUGCAACUCGCCUACAUGAAGUCGGAAUCGCUAGUAAUCGCGGAUCAGCACGCCGCGGUGAAUACGUUCCCGGGCCUU